ACGGCCUAACACAUGCAAGUCGAGGAGUAACAGGGGCAGCUUGCUGCCUGCUGACGACCGGCGCACGGGUGAGUAACGCGUAUGCAACCUGUCUUUAACAGGAGGAUAGCCCCCGGAAACGGGGAUUAAUACUCCAUGAUACUUGUGUUUCGCAUGAGAUACAAGUUAAAGCUGAGGCGGUUAAAGGUGGGCAUGCGUGACAUUAGCUAGUUGGUGAGGUAUCGGCUCACCAAGGCGACGAUGUCUAGGGGUUCUGAGAGGAAGGUCCCCCACACUGGUACUGAGACACGGACCAGACUCCUACGGGAGGCAGCAGUGAGGAAUCUUGGUCAAUGGACGGAAGUCUGAACCAGCCAUGUCGCGUGCAGGAAGACGGCCCUACGGGUUGUAAACUGCUUUUGUACGGGAAUAAAAGCCAUUACGAGUAGUGGAUUGAAUGUACCGUACGAAUAAGCAUCGGCUAACUCCGUGCCAGCAGCCGCGGUAAUACGGAGGAUGCGAGCGUUAUCCGGACUUAUUGGGUUUAAAGGGUGCGUAGGCGGAAUGGUAAGUCAGCGGUGAAAUACUACAGCUCAACUGUAGGGAUGCCGAUGAUACUGUCAUUCUUGAGUAUACUUGAGGCAUGCGGAAUGAGUUAGUGUAGCGGUGAAAUGCAUAGAUAUUACUCAGAACACCGAUAGCGAAGGCAGCAUGCUAAGGUAAUACUGACGCUGAGGCACGAAAGCGUGGGUAUCAAACAGGAUUAGAUACCCUGGUAGUCCACGCCGUAAACGAUGNAUUACUGGUUGUUUGUCCGUUAAAGGAUAAGCGACUGAGCGAAAGCAUUAAGUAAUCCACCUGGGGGGAGUACGUCGGCNACGAUGAAACUCCAAAGGAAUUGACGGGGGCCCGNCACAAGCG
Molecule: ribosomal RNA, 900 nt
Filed under: uncultured Anaerophaga sp.
Lineage: Bacteria; Pseudomonadati; Bacteroidota; Bacteroidia; Marinilabiliales; Marinilabiliaceae
Description: bacterial SSU rRNA
Rfam family: Bacterial small subunit ribosomal RNA
Source: RNAcentral